AAUCAACGCUGUCGGCGCGCUUAACACAUGCAAGUCGCACGAGAAAGGGAGCAAUCCUGAGUAAAGUGGCGUACGGGUGAGUAACACGUGGGAAUCUACCUCUUGGCGGGGAAUAACCCUGGGAAACCGGGGCUAAUACCGCAUAAGCUCGUGAGAGGAAAGCAGCAAUGCACCGAGAGAGGAGCCCGCGGCCGAUUAGCUAGUUGGUGGGGUAAUGGCUCACCAAGGCGAAGAUCGGUAGCCGGCCUGAGAGGGCACACGGCCACACUGGCACUGAAACACGGGCCAGACUCCUACGGGAGGCAGCAGUGGGGAAUCUUGCACAAUGGGGGAAACCCUGAUGCAGCGACGCCGCGGGAGCGAUGAAGCCCUUCGGGGUGUAAAGCUCUUUCGACAGGAACGAUAAUGACGGUACCUGGAGAAGAAGCUGCGGCUAACUACGU
This 443-nucleotide ribosomal RNA is filed under the name uncultured bacterium. RNAcentral's name for it is "partial 16S ribosomal RNA". It matches the Rfam family "Bacterial small subunit ribosomal RNA", at positions 29 to 506 of the family's 1533-position model. The record is from RNAcentral.